AGUGAACGCUGGCGGUAGGCCUAACACAUGCCAGUCGAACGGCAGCACAGUAAGAGCUUGCUCUUACGGGUGGCGAGUGGCGGACGGGUGAGGAAUACAUCGGAAUCUACUUUUUCGUGGGGGAUAACGUAGGGAAACUUACGCUAAUACCGCAUACGGCCUACGGGUGAAAGCAGGGGAUCUUCGGACCUUGCGCGAUUGAAUGAGCCGAUGUCGGAUUAGCUAGUUGGCGGGGUAAAGGCCCACCAAGGCGACGAUCCGUAGCUGGUCUGAGAGGAUGAUCAGCCACACUGGAACUGAGACACAGUCCAGACUCCUACGGGAGGCAGCAGUGGGGAAUAUUGGACAAUGGGCGCAAGCCUGAUCCAGCCAUACCGCGUGGGUGAAGAAGGCCUUCGGGUUGUAAAGCCCUUUUGUUGGGAAAGAAAAGCAGCAGGUUAAUACCCCGCUGUUCUGACGGUACCCAAAGAAUAAGCACCGGCUAACUUCGUG
This 492-nucleotide ribosomal RNA is filed under the name uncultured bacterium. RNAcentral describes it as "partial 16S ribosomal RNA". It matches the Rfam family "Bacterial small subunit ribosomal RNA", at positions 29 to 507 of the family's 1533-position model. The record is from RNAcentral.